RNAcentral lists this ribosomal RNA (465 nucleotides) under Vreelandella stevensii. Its description in RNAcentral is "partial 16S ribosomal RNA". It matches the Rfam family "Bacterial small subunit ribosomal RNA", at positions 338 to 795 of the family's 1533-position model. The record is from RNAcentral. Lineage: Bacteria; Pseudomonadati; Pseudomonadota; Gammaproteobacteria; Oceanospirillales; Halomonadaceae.
CCUACGGGGGGCUGCAGUGGGGAAUAUUGGACAAUGGGCGAAAGCCUGAUCCAGCCAUGCCGCGUGUGUGAAGAAGGCCUUCGGGUUGUAAAGCACUUUCAGUGGGGAAGAAAGCCUUGGGGCUAAUACCCUCGAGGAAGGACAUCACCCACAGAAGAAGCACCGGCUAACUCCGUGCCAGCAGCCGCGGUAAUACGGAGGGUGCGAGCGUUAAUCGGAAUUACUGGGCGUAAAGCGCGCGUAGGCGGUCUGAUAAGCCGGUUGUGAAAGCCCGGGGCUCAACCUGGGAACGGCAUCCGGAACUGUCAGGCUAGAGUGCAGGAGAGGAAGGUAGAAUUCCCGGUGUAGCGGUGAAAUGCGUAGAGAUCGGGAGGAAUACCAGUGGCGAAGGCGGCCUUCUGGACUGACACUGACGCUGAGGUGCGAAAGCGUGGGUAGCAAACAGGAUUAGAUACCCCUGUAGUC